Molecule: transfer RNA, 75 nt
Filed under: Rickettsiales bacterium
Lineage: Bacteria; Pseudomonadati; Pseudomonadota; Alphaproteobacteria; Rickettsiales
Description: tRNA-Glu
Rfam family: tRNA
About the family: Transfer RNA (tRNA) molecules are approximately 80 nucleotides in length. Their secondary structure includes four short double-helical elements and three loops (D, anti-codon, and T loops). Further hydrogen bonds mediate the characteristic L-shaped molecular structure. tRNAs have two regions of fundamental functional importance: the anti-codon, which is responsible for specific mRNA codon recognition, and the 3' end, to which the tRNAs corresponding amino acid is attached (by aminoacyl-tRNA synthetases). tRNAs cope with the degeneracy of the genetic code in two manners: having more than one tRNA (with a specific anti-codon) for a particular amino acid; and 'wobble' base-pairing, i.e. permitting non-standard base-pairing at the 3rd anti-codon position.
Source: RNAcentral
GGUCUCUUCGUCUAGUGGUUAGGACACUAGCCUCUCACGCUGGCAACACGGGUUCAAAUCCCGUAGAGAUCACCA